Molecule: ribosomal RNA, 253 nt
Filed under: uncultured bacterium
Lineage: Bacteria
Description: partial 16S ribosomal RNA
Rfam family: Bacterial small subunit ribosomal RNA
Source: RNAcentral
UACGUAGGCAGCAAGCGUUGUUCGGAAUUACUGGGCGUAAAGGGUGCGUAGGCGGCUUUUUAAGUUUGGUGUGAAAUCUCCCGGCUCAACUGGGAGGGUGCGCCGAAUACUGAGAAGCUAGAGUGUGGGAGAGGAAAGCGGAAUUCCUGGUGUAGCGGUGAAAUGCGUAGAUAUCAGGAGGAACACCUGCGGUGUAGACGGCUUUCUGGACCAUUGCUGACGCUGAGACACGAAAGCGUGGGUAGCAAACAGG